This 466-nucleotide ribosomal RNA is filed under the name uncultured bacterium. Its description in RNAcentral is "bacterial SSU rRNA". It matches the Rfam family "Bacterial small subunit ribosomal RNA", at positions 30 to 490 of the family's 1533-position model. The record is from RNAcentral.
AUUGAACGCUGGCGGCAUGCCUUACACAUGCAAGUCGAACGGCAGCACGGGAGCAAUCCUGGUGGCGAGUGGCGAACGGGUGAGUAAUAUAUCGGAACGUGCCCAGUCGUGGGGGAUAACGUAGCGAAAGCUACGCUAAUACCGCAUACGAUCUAUGGAUGAAAGCGGGGGAUCGCAAGACCUCGCGCGAUUGGAGCGGCCGAUAUCAGAUUAGGUAGUUGGUGGGGUAAAAGCCUACCAAGCCUUCGAUCUGUAGCUGGUCUGAGAGGACGACCAGCCACACUGGAACUGAGACACGGUCCAGACUCCUACGGGAGGCAGCAGUGGGGAAUUUUGGACAAUGGGCGCAAGCCUGAUCCAGCAAUGCCGCGUGCAGGAUGGAGGCCUUCGGGUUGUAAACUGCUUUGUACGGAACGAAACGGCUCUUUCUAAUAAAGAGAGCUAAUGACGGUACCGUAAGAAUAAG